CAGUAGCCGCGGGAAUACGGAGGGUGCAAGCGUUAUCCGGAUUUAUUGGGUUUAAAGGGUCCGUAGGCGGACUUAUAAGUCAGUGGUGAAAGCCUGUCGCUUAACGAUAGAACUGCCAUUGAUACUGUAAGUCUUGAGUAUAUUUGAGGUAGCUGGAAUAAGUAGUGUAGCGGUGAAAUGCAUAGAUAUUACUUAGAACACCAAUUGCGAAGGCAGGUUACCAAGAUAUAACUGACGCUGAGGGACGAAAGCGUGGGUAGCGAACAGGAUUAGAUACCCGAGUAGUCCCUGUCUCUUAUAA
This 301-nucleotide ribosomal RNA is filed under the name uncultured bacterium. RNAcentral describes it as "partial 16S ribosomal RNA". It matches the Rfam family "Bacterial small subunit ribosomal RNA", at positions 509 to 809 of the family's 1533-position model. The record is from RNAcentral.